AGUGAACGCUGGCGGUAGGCCUAACACAUGCAAGUCGAACGGCAGCACAGUAAGAGCUUGCUCUUACGGGUGGCGAGUGGCGGACGGGUGAGGAAUACAUCGGAAUCUACUUUUUCGUGGGGGAUAACGUAGGGAAACUUACGCUAAUACCGCAUACGACCUACGGGUGAAAGCAGGGGAUCUUCGGACCUUGCGCGAUUGAAUGAGCCGAUGUCGGAUUAGCUAGUUGGCGGGGUAAAGGCCCACCAAGGUGACGAUCCGUAGCUGGUCUGAGAGGAUGAUCAGCCACACUGGAACUGAGACAGGGUCCAGACUCCUACGGGAGGCAGCAGUGGGGAAUAUUGGACAAUGGGCGCAAGCCUGAUCCAGCCAUACCGCGUGGGUGAAGAAGGCCUUCGGGUUGUAAAGCCCUUUUGUUGGGAAAGAAAAGCAGCAGGUUAAUACCCCGCUGUUCUGACGGUACCCAAAGAAUAAGCACCGGCUAACUUCGUG
Molecule: ribosomal RNA, 492 nt
Filed under: uncultured bacterium
Lineage: Bacteria
Description: partial 16S ribosomal RNA
Rfam family: Bacterial small subunit ribosomal RNA
Source: RNAcentral